AUUGAACGCUGGCGGCAGGCCUAACACAUGCAAGUCGAGCGGCAGCGGAAAGUAGCUUGCUACUUUGCCGGCGAGCGGCGGACGGGUGAGUAAUGUCUGGGAAACUGCCUGAUGGAGGGGGAUAACUACUGGAAACGGUAGCUAAUACCGCAUAACGUCGCAAGACCAAAGAGGGGGACCUUCGGGCCUCUUGCCAUCAUAUGUGCCCAGAUGGGAUUAGCUAGUAGGUGGGGUAACGGCUCACCUAGGCGACGAUCCCUAGCUGGUCUGAGAGGAUGACCAGCCACACUGGAACUGAGACACGGUCCAGACUCCUACGGGAGGCAGCAGUGGGGAAUAUUGCACAAUGGGCGCAAGCCUGAUGCAGCCAUGCCGCGUGUACGAAGAAGGCCUUCGGGUUGUAAAGUACUUUCAGCGGGGAGGAAGGUGUUGAGGUUAAUAACCUCAGCAAUUGACGUUACCCGCAGAAGAAGCACCGGCUAACUCCGUGCCAGCCGCCGCAGUAA
Molecule: ribosomal RNA, 506 nt
Filed under: uncultured bacterium
Lineage: Bacteria
Description: partial 16S ribosomal RNA
Rfam family: Bacterial small subunit ribosomal RNA
Source: RNAcentral